Rhinopithecus roxellana (golden snub-nosed monkey) is the source of this 580-nucleotide long non-coding RNA. RefSeq lists it as uncharacterized. The record is from RefSeq and is a predicted model, not a curated record. Lineage: Eukaryota; Metazoa; Chordata; Mammalia; Primates; Cercopithecidae. The transcript has 3 exons.
AGCAAUUCUUGUGACUCAGCCUCCCAAGUAGCUGGAAUUACAGGCAUGCACCACCAUGCCCAGGGCAGAUAUGAGGCUCUCGAAUUGAACAGCUGCUGAAAGAUGAAUGAAUUUGGCAGGAAUGGAAAGAUCAAGCCAGCAGAUGCACACGAACAAGGUCACUGAAGCAGGAGCUGUCACCAGGUGCUAUCAGCCAGCACUCACCGGGACAUGAAGGAAUGCCUUUGCUUCUGUCUUCCUCAUGGUAUUUCCCUCCAGGGGCAGGCGCUCAAUCUUCCCGGUCUGGGCAAAAAGUAAAUGGGUCCCGGGGGGCAAGGGGAUCACGGCGGUAGGCACUGCGGGUCCUUGGUGAAUCGGGGGAGCCACUGUACUCAGGCCUGCAUGGCAGAGGGGAUCAGUGAGCGAGGCCCGUGUGCACCAGAAACCCACAAAUGCACACACACACCCCCACACAUACGCAAGCAUGCACACACAUACACACACCCACACAUCAGGUCACAUCACCUUCAUGGCACCACAAACUGCCACAGCCACACACUGCCCAUUUUAUAGCUAAAAGCACCAGAAGAAGCCCUCAGUC